UAUACCAGACGAUGUCACUAACAGACAAUGGCAUUCUCUCUCAGUGUGGAGUGUGACCCCAACUACUAACUGGAUAAUUGAGUGUGGUGGAGAUAGAGGCUAUUCAACACUAAGUGAUACAGCAGUUAUUGAACUCAGAUUUACUAAUGAUAAUGAUUGGUCUACUAGUGUAAUACCUCUGGACCAGUAUCAAGAUCAACUAAGAAGAAGGAUACUGGGUGAUUGGGAGAAUUUAGGAUUAAGCAAAGAGGUUCAAUUACUCAGAGGACACCUACAA
Amphimedon queenslandica is the source of this 277-nucleotide long non-coding RNA. RefSeq lists it as uncharacterized. The record is from RefSeq and is a predicted model, not a curated record. NCBI's taxonomy places the organism in Eukaryota, Metazoa, Porifera, Demospongiae, Haplosclerida, Niphatidae. The transcript is spliced from 2 exons.